CGGUAAUACGUAGGGCGCAAGCGUUGUCCGGAAUUAUUGGGCGUAAAGAGCUCGUAGGCGGCUUGUCGCGUCGGUUGUGAAAGCCCGGGGCUUAACCCCGGGUCUGCAGUCGAUACGGGCAGGCUAGAGUUCGGUAGGGGAGAUCGGAAUUCCUGGUGUAGCGGUGAAAUGCGCAGAUAUCAGGAGGAACACCGGUGGCGAAGGCGGAUCUCUGGGCCGAUACUGACGCUGAGGAGCGAAAGCGUGGGGAGCGAACAGGAUUAGAUACCCUGGUAGUCCACGCCGUAAACGGUGGGAACUAGGUGUUGGCGACAUUCCACGUCGUCGGUGCCGCAGCUAACGCAUUAAGUUCCCCGCCUGGGGAGUACGGCCGCAAGGCUAAAACUCAAAGGAAUUGACGGGGGCCCGCACAAGCAGCGGAGCAUGUGGCUUAAUUCGACGCAACGCGAAGAACCUUACCAAGGCUUGACAUACGCCGGAAAGCAUCAGAGAUGGUGCCCCCCUUGUGGUCGGUGUACAGGUGGUGCAUGGCUGUCGUCAGCU
RNAcentral lists this ribosomal RNA (543 nucleotides) under Streptomyces sp. FBZK-33. RNAcentral describes it as "bacterial SSU rRNA". It matches the Rfam family "Bacterial small subunit ribosomal RNA", at positions 518 to 1060 of the family's 1533-position model. The record is from RNAcentral. Lineage: Bacteria; Bacillati; Actinomycetota; Actinomycetes; Kitasatosporales; Streptomycetaceae.